Molecule: ribosomal RNA, 570 nt
Filed under: Colletotrichum gloeosporioides
Lineage: Eukaryota; Fungi; Ascomycota; Sordariomycetes; Glomerellales; Glomerellaceae
Description: eukaryotic LSU rRNA
Rfam family: 5.8S ribosomal RNA (bases 212-365)
Source: RNAcentral
UCAGUAAUCUUCUCUCCGUCCCCUCGGAGGGGUCAAUUAUGGGGGUAAGCCUUCCCAACCCCUUGGGAACAUACCUAUAAAAAUUGGUUCGGCGGGCAGGGUGUCCGCGACCCUCCCGGCCUCCCGCCUCCGGGCGGGUCGGCGCCCGCCGGAGGAUAACCAAACUCUGAUUUAACGACGUUUCUUCUGAGUGGUACAAGCAAAUAAUCAAAACUUUUAACAACGGAUCUCUUGGUUCUGGCAUCGAUGAAGAACGCAGCGAAAUGCGAUAAGUAAUGUGAAUUGCAGAAUUCAGUGAAUCAUCGAAUCUUUGAACGCACAUUGCGCCCGCCAGCAUUCUGGCGGGCAUGCCUGUUCGAGCGUCAUUUCAACCCUCAAGCUCUGCUUGGUGUUGGGGCCCUACAGCUGAUGUAGGCCCUCAAAGGUAGUGGCGGACCCUCUCGGAGCCUCCUUUGCGUAGUAACUUUACGUCUCGCACUGGGAUCCGGAGGGACUCUUGCCGUAAAACCCCCAAUUUUCCAAUAGGUUGACGGUCGGAUCAGUCUUGCUAGUGGGCGCCUGCCUGUUUGA